This 531-nucleotide ribosomal RNA is filed under the name uncultured Alphaproteobacteria bacterium. Its description in RNAcentral is "bacterial SSU rRNA". It matches the Rfam family "Bacterial small subunit ribosomal RNA", at positions 84 to 650 of the family's 1533-position model. Lineage: Bacteria; Pseudomonadati; Pseudomonadota; Alphaproteobacteria. The record is from RNAcentral.
CUUCGGAGUGAGCGGCGGACGGGUUAGUAACGCGUGGGAACGUGCCCUUCUCUAAGGAAUAGCCACUGGAAACGGUGAGUAAUACCUUAUACGCCCUUCGGGGGAAAGAUUUAUCGGAGAAGGAUCGGCCCGCGUUAGAUUAGAUAGUUGGUGGGGUAAUGGCCUACCAAGUCUACGAUCUAUAGCUGGUUUUAGAGGAUGAUCAGCAACACUGGGACUGAGACACGGCCCAGACUCCUACGGGAGGCAGCAGUGGGGAAUCUUGGACAAUGGGCGCAAGCCUGAUCCAGCCAUGCCGCGUGAGUGAUGAAGGCCUUAGGGUCGUAAAGCUCUUUCGCCAGAGAUGAUAAUGACAGUAUCUGGUAAAGAAACCCCGGCUAACUCCGUGCCAGCAGCCGCGGUAAUACGGAGGGGGUUAGCGUUGUUCGGAAUUACUGGGCGUAAAGCGCACGUAGGCGGAUCAGAAAGUAUAGGGUGAGAUCCCAGGGCUCAACCCUGGAACUGCCUUGUAAACUCCUGAUCUUGAGUUCG